UAGCCAUAUCAUGUUGAAACACUCGUUCUCGUACGAUCACUGAAGUUAAGCAAUGUCGAGCCUGCUCAGUACCUAGAUGGGUGACCGCUUGGGAAUAUCAGGUGUUGUAAG
This 111-nucleotide ribosomal RNA is filed under the name Acanthosepion pharaonis. The record is from RNAcentral. Lineage: Eukaryota; Metazoa; Mollusca; Cephalopoda; Sepiida; Sepiidae.